UGGGGAAUCUUCCGCAAUGGACGAAAGUCUGACGGAGCAACGCCGCGUGAGUGAAGAAGGUUUUCGGAUCGUAAAACUCUGUCUUUUGGGGCGAACGUGAGUAUGGUGAACAAUCAUAGUCAGUGACGGUACCAAAGGAGGAAGCCACGGCUAACUACGUGCCAGCAGCCGCGGUAAUACGUAGGUGGCAAGCGUUGUCCGGAAUUAUUGGGCGUAAAGAGCGCGUAGGCGGGAUAGUCAGUCUGUUGUAAAAGUGCGGGGCUCAACCCCGUGAUGGCAAUGGAAACAGCUAUUCUUGAGUGCAGGAGAGGAAAGUGGAAUUCCCAGUGUAGCGGUGAAAUGCGUAGAUAUUGGGAGGAACACCAGUGGCGAAGGCGACUUUCUGGACUGUGUCUGACGCUGAGGCGCGAAAGCCAGGGGAGCGAACGGGAUUAGAUACCCCGGUAGUCCUGGCCGUAAACGAUGGGUACUAGGUGUGGGGGGUAUCGACCCCUUCCGUGCCGGAGUUAACGCAAUAAGUACCCCGCCUGGGGAGUACGGUCGCAAGACUGAAACUCAAAGGAAUUGACGGGGUCAUAGCUGUUUCCUG
This 589-nucleotide ribosomal RNA is filed under the name uncultured bacterium. RNAcentral describes it as "partial 16S ribosomal RNA". It matches the Rfam family "Bacterial small subunit ribosomal RNA", at positions 355 to 1376 of the family's 1533-position model. The record is from RNAcentral.